RNAcentral lists this long non-coding RNA (6584 nucleotides) under Sus scrofa (pig). Its description in RNAcentral is "lncRNA (ENSSSCG00000053853.1)". Lineage: Eukaryota; Metazoa; Chordata; Mammalia; Artiodactyla; Suidae. The record is from RNAcentral.
AGAUUGAAUUGGCUGAUGGCUUGCUUGUUUACUGAUAUGGCAGGUGACAUUCUUUAUCCACAGGGACAUGAAUAAGUGAAUAAAUAAUUCUGACACAAUUGGUCCUUUUUGGUUUUGAUUGACAUGAUUCUGCUGAAAGUCUAAUUAUCUAAAUCAUUUCUUUUCCUGUUACAAAGGUAUCUGCCUAAGGCUGCUCCUUCAACGGAAUCAUGAUGUAGCAAGCAUGAUAAUGUGAUCAGCACAACCCCAAGAAAAUUGGCUCCAAUUAAACCAGCACAGCUGGGCAAAGGCCACUGGUUUCCCAAAGGCUUCACAGAUUUGAGGUAAGAGGCCUUUCCUAUUUUUGUACAGAAACAAGUCAUAAAUACUCCUCUGACAAGAGUACAAUCAUCUUAACUCUCUAGGUAUUCUGUUACCAAUCACCUCUCCUUCAAUUCAAAUGCUCUUUGUAUGCUAAUUUUAAAUUUCUGUGAUCUAGGCUGACAGUAAGCCCUCUAAACUACAUAGGGAAAAGUCUGUAGUCUUUUAAAUAGUUCACCUUGCAAGUGAGACCAACAUGUUCUUGGAGAAAUAAGCCAGAGUUCAUUCUUCAUAUAUCCUAUAUACAGAAAAGAAGGAAAUGUCAGGGUUUCUUCUGCCAGUGGGUUGGAAACAAUUAAGAUUGUGUGCAUCUUUGUACAUAAAUAUGACAAUCUUCUUUGAAACAAGUGAACUCUAAAUUUUGGAUUUUUUUUUUUUGUAUUGAUCAUAUUAAAAAUCUCCCUUUGGGAAUGCUGAUUUCUACCCCCUACCGCCUCUUCAAGUAAAUUUAGAGUAUACUUAGUUUCGUCCCAGAAAUGAGAGGAAAAAUGUAAGGGGAUUCUGGAAGGGUGAAAUGAAUGCUGUCCCUCUUAACUUAGCCCAGAGCCCAGGGCUGCAAUAGGGCUUCUUUAGAGGGCACUAUUUCUAAUGGGCUCUGCAGAUAAUGCCCCUUCGAGAUGUGCAAUAUAACUGCCCUGGCAUGGCCUGUGUUAGAUCAAAUUGUGAAACAUGAGUCUGACACAGGACCGUCUUCUAAUUGUUUCCCUCUUUCACUCACUGAUGACCUCUCUCACUCUCCACCCUUCCUCUCUUCUCAGCAAAGCGCUCUGUAUGUCUCUGGCAUUUGCACCCAGCACGAGUCUCCCUCUGGUUCCACUCCUUAUGAGCUGUGUGACCUUGAACAGGCACUUGACUUCAGGUUUCUGACGGCAAAAUGAGGACAAGCAUGGCAUGUACCUCAAUUUUGUUGUGAAGACUGGAUGAGAUGAGGCAUAUGAAGUGUCCAGUCCACUGCCUGGCCCUCCAAGUGCAAAUGAAUAUUAGCUAGCUUACUGCUAAUAUCAUGAUCACAGCUGCUAUCCAGGUGCCCAACCACCAAAUACCCAAGGUAUCAGGAAGUCUUGUCAUCCUCUGCUGAAAAUAAAUGGAGAUGUUCAUUAGCUCAAAAGGGUCUAGUGGGUUAUACAAACCCACACCUUCAUUUUCAGAUGAGUAAACAGGCACAGAGAUGACAAGAAGUGCCGUAGACUGCAUAGCUGGUUAUAGAAGAACUGGAAACAAGAAACUAGGUCCUCUGUCUCCCAGUUUCGUACAUUUUUCACUGCAUCAAACAUUUGAUUAAGUUUCCGUGGGACCAGCAGUCUUCUUCAAGCCAUUCAGUCUUCAAUCGUGAACAAUUUCAAUCAGGCAUGUGUAUCUGGAUGAUUAUAAUCAGCUGCUAAGAAACAAAGUCCUGAUUGAUCAAGUCAUUUUCAUCCUCUUCUCCUGAACAUGGGAUUAAUGAGACAAACAUUUUCUGCUUAUGAAUUCACAGCAGUGAAAGGCAAAAAAGACCUUAUUCCUAAGGAAGUGCGUUUGGUGCUGGUCAGCUUCCCUGAGUCCCUGAUAGGCAGGGCUUACUCCAAGAUUUGCCCCUAACUUCCCUGAAGCCGGGAAGAGGGAAACAAACUUCACAGCCUGGGAUUUUCUCUUUCAGAGCAGUAGGGGUUUCUCUUUGCCUGGGUUAAUCCCACUAGCCCUUGAGAGCUGGGUUUAAGUCCCAUAUCUUCAGAGAAGUCUUUUCCCCAAACUCUAGACUAACUAGGUUAGUCCCCUUCCCCACCUCUGAUGUUCACAAAGCCUCCUAAAUAAAUAAGUAGUGUUAAUCUAAACCAUUGUUACUGGGAGAUUUUUUGGUGAGGGCUCAUAUCACAUCAUAUUUUCAGAUUCUUUUCCCUUAUAUUUCACCAAAGAGUUAAAGUGAUUCUCCAACCAGUAACUGUGGGGGAAGGGAAGCCUAAAUAUUUUUAUUCUAUUAUUCUUGGUCUAACCCCUUUAAAUUGAUAUUAGCACACAAUGAUGAUGAUUCACCCUUUGUUUCUAACACAUAUAUUUCUAACUAUAAAUGUCUUUCCAAGCUCAGUAUAAUGUUCUAUUCAGACAUUUUUUCCAAGCUUUCAAGAAAAAUUAUGAAAAUUGACUUCUGUACUAAUCCAUAAAGGAACACAAUGAAUUUCAAAGGAUCAGUUCUGUUUUACUCAUAAUGCAAUUCAAUUAGAAAUUAUUAGCAGGUAACUAGAACACCUCACAUAUUUCAAAAUUUCUAAAAUAAUCAUAUGUAUUCUCCAAUCACUGAGCACAGUACACUACACACAGCAGAUCAUUAGAUUAAGGUUGGUAUUGAAUUGGUCAAAUUUAUAUUUAUUUCAACUGUUGUCUCCUUGAACCAUCAAUUACUCAGAAGAAUUAAAACUUCCCACUGUAAUGAUAGGUGUGUCAUUUUCUCCUUAUGGUUCUGUCAAUUUUUGAUUUAUGUUUUGAGGCUAUGUUAUUACAUACUUACAGUUUUUUUAUAUCCUUUAUCAAACUUGAGAACUGACUGUUUUGUCAGUAAGGAGUGACCAUUUUAUUUCUAACAAUAUUUUUUGCUUUAAAAUAUUUUUUGUCUGCUGUUAUAAUAAUGACACCAUGUUCAGUUUUGUCUCUUGUAAACAGAGACAGCUAGAAUUCUUUUGUUAUCCAUGAGGACUAUCUUUUACUAUUUACAUAAACUUUUUGAAAUAAUUUUAGAUUUAUAGAAAAGUUGCAAAUAUAGUAGGGAUCCUAUACAAUUGUCAUCAUCUACGGCAAUCAGAACUUAGGCGAUGCCUGGAGAUCACCUUUAAGAAGACAGAGGGAUGGCUAAUGCCGUGACAAGCAAGAGCCCCAAGCAAACUCAGGCUCUAUCUUUUAUUAGGAUUGUGAACAAAGGAUAUAUAUGUAAAAGCGUGGGGGGAGACUAUAGACAAAAUUUACAAGGACCACACACACCUGGGGAAUUAUGAUUAACAGUGUUGUUCUAACAAUUAUCAGAUCUUAUCUCAGGAAGGCAUACAUUAACCUUUAUAGCAGGCCUGUUUGUUCCCUUCACAGGGAACUAUCUAAAGUUCUUUCCUUGCAUGACCUUCUUGGCAUUCCAAGAGGACAUCAUGGUUUUCCAUGACCUCUAUAUUCUGCUCUCUUUCCUUACUCUAGCCACAAGCUUUCAAGCUUGAGGCUUAUGGCCCUGUUUUCUUCCACCCACAUACAAUCUUUACCCUAUUCCCCUCAUGUUAACAUAUUACAUAACAGUUGUACAUUUGCAAAAAUAGGAAAUCAAUAUUAAUAGAUUAGUAGUACCUAAACUUAAAGACUUUAUUUGCAUUUCACAGUUUUUCUACUAGUAUCUUUUUUCUGUUUCAGAAUGCCACACUGCAUUUAGUAUUUUUGUCUUCUAAUUAAAGAGUUUAGUCUUUGUCAUUUCUUCGUGAUUUGUAGUAAUCUUAAAAUUAUUUCUACCACCUUAUGCUAUAGGCCCUCUUUUGCUACUUCCUGUUCUUUUCUUAGAUUUCUAUUCUAUUUGUUGAGUGAUUUAGUUUUCAUCCUUCCCUUCUGUACCCAACUAUGUAAUUUAUAAAAGAAAUUUUAUAUUCUCUUAGUGGGUUAUCCCAGAAAUUUUAAUAGCUUAUAAUUAAUAAAGUGUAAAGAUAAUCAAUAUUAACUCCACUCACCCCUUCCAAACUGUACAUUAAUAUAUCUAUUAAUUCUUAUUAUAUCUUGUUUUAAGCCCUCAAGACACCAUAAUUGUUUUUAUAAAGUUUUUGUUUAGAUAUAACAACAUAUUAAACUUUUUCUUUACUUAGUCCCAUCUUUCAUAAUGUUCUACAUGGAAAAUUAUGUUUUGUAAUGUUCUAUGAAAUGUCUUAGGGUUUUGCAUUUGGAGUUUUUUCCUGAUACUUAAAAUAAUGCCUUUGGUGGCAAAAUGCCUCAGUUUUGUUUUUUAAAAUGACUUUAUUUUACAUUUUUCCUAGAAGUAUGGGUUUUUUGGAUAUAAAACUCUAGAUUGGCCACAUUUUUCUCAGUUUUUUUAAAGACAUUAUUUCAUUACCUUUUCAUUUUCCUCACUUUUUUAGAGAAGUUUGCUAUUAAAUUGAUUGUUCUUUUGUGGAUAACCUACUUUUCUCUCUAACUGCACUUAUGAUCAUCUCUUUUUCUUUGGUAUUCCACAGUUCCACUACCAAAUGGUUGAGGGGUAUUUCUUUUCAUUUAACCUGUUUGGAAUAUUUAGGCUUUCUUAAUCUAAUACACUGUCUUUAUUUAUUUAUUUAGAUUUUUAAAUCUUUGUAGUAUUUAAAGUUAUUUAAAAUAUUUCAAAUUCUCUAAUUUUGCUCUCACCCAUUGAAUUAUUUUAUUUUAGAAUUCCAAUUAGAUAUGUUAGAAUUUCACAUUCUAUCUUCCACAUUUCUCCUCUUUCACAUUUUCCAUUUAAUGAUUUGUGGUAAUUUUUCAUAUCUAUUUUUCAGUUUAUUAAUUCUUAUAUCAAUUGUAUAUCUUUUGAUCUUUAUUCCUUAAAAUUUUAAAUUUCAAUUAGUUUUUUUACAUCUAGAAGUCCUGUUUGAUUUUUUUCAGGCAUUAUUGUCAUAUUUUAUAGCCUCCUACUCCUAAAACUUUACUCAUGUUAAUCCUUCUGUUUUUUAGAACAAGUUAAACAAAUAUUAUAUUCUCUCAUUGGUAAUUCCAAUACCUGAAGUGUUUAUAGAUGUGAUUCUACUGAGUGGUUUUGUGCGUUUGUUUGAGUCUGUUUUGCUAUAAGCUAAUAUUCCUAUUAGCUAAACCUCUCAAGACUUGGUUGAAGGUACAUUCAUUUAUACAGUAUUUGCUUCUCUCUCAACAUGGAGCCACUAAAUUAAACCUUGGCUAGAAAUUUUUUGAACUACCACAAGUAAUGUGAAUUUAAGCUAUGAACUGUCCAUGAGAAAAUAGGCCCACUAAGAAAUUUCAGGAGAGAUUUUUUUUUUUCCUUCCAUUCAAAACCAAGAUGGUGACAGAUAAGUUUCUUUGAUAUUCUCUUUUAGGAAUAAUUUAUUUUCCUUACACUGUAGCUGUAGUCCUUUGGAGUCUCAAAAGUAUUGCCAAGGGUUUGAGUGGUGUGGUGGACUUAUUUUAGAUUUAUCAUCUUGAGUGGGCUCUAUAUUUUUCUCUUUCCCCCCAUACCCUACACAACCACCAAAGCAAGAAGUCAAGGUUAUCAGGUUUGGCAUAUAUCACCAGGAUGAAAGCUGACUUCAGUACUAGCCUACCUUUCUGGAGCUCGAUGUUUACUUCAUUGAAAUUUAAAUUCUUCUUAUCCAUCUUGCUGGGUCAUUGAUACAAGACUAAGUGUUUUAUCCAUCAUUUUCACUUGUUUUCAGUGGAUCUAUUGUUUAGCCUGUCAGACUGUGAUAGUCUAAAAACAGACAUCAAGGAAACCUAAAAAUUAUGGGAUCACUCAAGGGGUAUUUUCCCAAGCUUUUCCACCUCCCAAAAUCAGCACCUGAAAAUUGACUUAUAGUUCAUGAUAGAAAUCUCAGGCAGUCAAUAGAUUUCCUCAUGAAUAAUUAUUAAGCUUCUAAAUUUUCCUAGAAGCACUGAGGGAGAAAUUGGUGCCGUGCCUUUCCCCUAGCUUCUGACGGCUCUCAGCAGUCCUUGGCAUUCCUUGGCUUGUAGCUACUUCACCACAAUCUCUGUCUCCAUCUUUAUAUGACUUCUUCUUUCUGUCUUUGUCUCUGUGUACCUACUACUUUUCUUGUAAAGACACCAGUCAUUGGAUUUAGGGCCCAUCCAAAUCCAGUAUGACCUCAUCUUGACUAAAGAUAUCUGCAAAAAUGACUUCCAGAUGAGGUCACAUUCUGAGGUUCCAGAUGGACAUGAAUUUUAGAGGAACUCUAUACAACUCCCUAAAAUCACCUUGAACAUUCACCUAAAGAUAAACCUCCGAUGUAUCUUGGGGAAACUAAUUUAUAUUGUAUCAUAUCAGAACACACUUAAUGGCCUAACAUCACUUCCCUUUGCCUUUUAGUGGCUCCUUGUCAUCUUUUUAAUUUAAGAUGAAUUCAUUAUGUAUUUCUAAGAUCUCCUUCAAGGGUUCCAUAGAUUAGAGUUUUUCACACCUUUCUUCCUACCAUCUUAAUUUAAUUUUCUAGGCAAACUGAACUCCAAAUUCUUAAAACAACCCAAUAGAGCACAAUAAGCCCUUGAAAUUUGUAUUGACAUCUUCGUGGUACUGCAACGAAAGCUAGUCAAUUUUU